UAACUACGAUUGAUAGUGGUCCUUAGCUCAAAUCCAAGUACUCUCUUACAAACCUCUUCCUUUAACAAAAAUGACUGCAUAUCCAUUUCCACUAUGUUCAGGAGCUUCACUGAAUAGGGAUUCCUGAAAUGAAUAGAAACACUCAACAUUUUCCUGUGCAAAUGCAUAAAAACCUAGCAAACAUGUCCCCCAACUGAAAUCUGUUCCGAUCCUCUAAGU
This is a non-coding RNA of Chelonoidis abingdonii (Abingdon island giant tortoise), 219 nucleotides long. The record is from RefSeq and is a predicted model, not a curated record. NCBI's taxonomy places the organism in Eukaryota, Metazoa, Chordata, Testudines, Testudinidae.